GACGAACGCUGGCGGCGUGCUUAACACAUGCAAGUCGAACGGAAAGGUCCUGCUUUUGUGGGGUGCUCGAGUGGCGAACGGGUGAGUAACACGUGAGUAACCUGCCCCUGACUUUGGGAUAACUUCAGGAAACUGGGGCUAAUACCGGAUAGGAGCUCCUGCUGCAUGGUGGGGGUUGGAAAGUUUCGGCGGUUGGGGAUGGACCCGCGGCUUAUCAGCUCGUUGGUGGGGUAGUGGCUUACCAAGGCUUUGACGGGUAGCCGGCCUGAGAGGGUGACCGGCCACAUUGGGACGGAGAUACGGCCCAGACUCCUACGGGAGGCAGGAGUGGGGAAUAUUGCACAAUGAGCGGAAGCAUGAUGCAGCAACGCCGCGUGCGGGAUGACGGCCUUCGGGUUGUAAACCGCUUUCGCCUGUGACGAAGCGUGAGUGACGGUAAUGGGUAAAGAAGCACCGGCUAACUACGU
This 467-nucleotide ribosomal RNA is filed under the name uncultured bacterium. Its description in RNAcentral is "partial 16S ribosomal RNA". It matches the Rfam family "Bacterial small subunit ribosomal RNA", at positions 28 to 506 of the family's 1533-position model. The record is from RNAcentral.